CUGACCGAGCAACGCCGGGCGUGGAGUGAAGAAGGUUUUCGGAUCGUAAAACUCUGUUGUUUAGAGAAGAACAAGGGAUGAGAGUAACUGUUCAUCCCUUGACGGUAUCUAACCAGAAAGCCACGGCUAACUACGUGCCCAGCAGCCGCGGUAAUACGUAGGUGGCAAGCGUUGUCCGGAUUUAUUGGGCGUAAAGCGAGCGCAGGCGGUUUCUUAAGUCUGAUGUGAAAGCCCCCGGCUCAACCGGGGAGGGUCAUUGGAAACUGGGAGACUUGAGUGCAGAAGAGGAGAGUGGAAUUCCAUGUGUAGCGGUGAAAUGCGUAGAUAUAUGGAGGAACACCAGUGGCGAAGGCGGCUCUCUGGUCUGUAACUGACGCUGAGGCUCGAAAGCGUGGGGAGCAAACAGGAUUAGAUACCCUGGUAGUCCACGCCGUAAACGAUGAGUGCUAAGUGUUGGAGGGUUUCCGCCCUUCAGUGCUGCAGCUAACGCAUUAAGCACUCCGCCUGGGGAGUACGACCGCAAGGUUGAAACUCAAAGGAAUUGACGGGGGCCCGCACAAGCGGUGGAGCAUGUGGUUUAAUUCGAAGCAACGCGAAGAACCUUACCAGGUCUUGACAUCCUUUGACCACUCUAGAGAUAGAGCUUCCCCUUUCGGGGGCAAAGUGACAGGUGGUGCAUGGCUUGUCGUCAGCUCGUGUCGUGAGAUGUUGGGUUAAGUCCCGCAACGAGCGCAAUCCCUUAUUGUUAGUUGCCAUCAUUCAGUUGGGCACUCUAGCAAGACUGCCGGUGACAAACCGGAGGAAGGUGGGGAUGACGUCAAAUCAUCAUGCCCCUUAUGACCUGGGCUACACACGUGCUACAAUGGGAAGUACAACGAGUUGCGAAGUCGCGAGGCUAAGCUAAUCUCUUAAAGCUUCUCUCAGUUCGGAUUGCAGGCUGCAACUCGCCUGCAUGAAGCCGGAAUCGCUAGUAAUCGCGGAUCAGCACGCCGCGGUGAAUACGUUCCCGGGCCUUGUACACACCGCCCGUCACACCACGAGAGUUUGUAACACCCGAAGUCGGUGAGGUAACCUUUUGGAGCCAGCCGCUAAGUGCAUAGGGU
This 1103-nucleotide ribosomal RNA is filed under the name Enterococcus faecium. RNAcentral describes it as "bacterial SSU rRNA". It matches the Rfam family "Bacterial small subunit ribosomal RNA", at positions 383 to 1472 of the family's 1533-position model. Lineage: Bacteria; Bacillati; Bacillota; Bacilli; Lactobacillales; Enterococcaceae. The record is from RNAcentral.